Molecule: ribosomal RNA, 329 nt
Filed under: Listeria monocytogenes
Lineage: Bacteria; Bacillati; Bacillota; Bacilli; Caryophanales; Listeriaceae
Description: bacterial LSU rRNA
Rfam family: Bacterial large subunit ribosomal RNA
Source: RNAcentral
CCAUUUAAAGCGGCACGCGAGCUGGGUUUAGAACGUCGUGAGACAGUUCGGUCCCUAUCUGCCGUGGGCGCUGGAGAACUGAGGGGGGCUGCUCCUAGUACGAGAGGACCGGAGUGGACGCAUCACUGGUGUUCGGGUUGUCAUGCCAAUGGCACUGCCCGGUAGCUAAAUGCGGAAGAGAUAAGUGCUGAAAGCAUCUAAGCACGAAACUUGCCCCGAGAUGAGUUCUCCCUGAGACUUUAGGUCUCCUGAAGGAACGUUGAAGACGACGACGUUGAUAGGCCGGGUGUGUAAGCGCAGCGAUGCGUUGAGCUAACCGGUACUAAUGA